UGCCAGCCGCCGCGGUAAUACGGAGGGGGUUAGCGUUGUUUGGAAUUACUGGGCGUAAAGCGCACGUAGGCGGAUUAGAAAGUUAGAGGUGGAAUCCCGGGGCUCAACCCCGGAACUGCCUUUAAAACUACUAGUCUAGAGUUCGAGAGAGGUGAGUGGAAUUCCGAGUGUAGAGGUGAAAUUCGUAGAUAUUCGGAGGAACACCAGUGGCGAAGGCGGCUCACUGGCUCGAUACUGACGCUGACAUGCCUAAGUCUGUAGAUCUAACCGGGUUUGAUA
Molecule: ribosomal RNA, 279 nt
Filed under: uncultured bacterium
Lineage: Bacteria
Description: partial 16S ribosomal RNA
Rfam family: Bacterial small subunit ribosomal RNA
Source: RNAcentral